Molecule: ribosomal RNA, 650 nt
Filed under: uncultured bacterium
Lineage: Bacteria
Description: bacterial SSU rRNA
Rfam family: Bacterial small subunit ribosomal RNA
Source: RNAcentral
GGGUAUUGUAACUUUAGUGGCGGACGGGUGAGUAACACGUGAGAAUUUACCUUUAGGAGGGGAAUAACAGUUGGAAACGACUGCUAAUGCCGCAUAUCAUAACCAUGAAAGAAGAAAUUCGCCUAAAGAAAAGCUUGCGUCUGAUUAGCUAGUUGGUAAGGGUAAAGGCCUACCAAGGCGACGAUCAGUAGCUGGUUUGAGAGGACGACCAGUCACACUGGAACUGAGACACGGUCCAGACCCCUACGGGAGGCAGCAGUGGGGAAUUUUCUGCAAUGGGCGAAAGCCUGACAGAGCAAUACCGCGUGAGGGAAGAAAGCCCACAGGGUUGUAAACCUCUUUUGUCAAGGAAGAAGUUCUGACGUUACUUGACGAAUAAGCAUCGGCUAACUCCGUGCCAGCAGCCGCGGUAAGACGGGGGAUGCAAGUGUUAUCCGGAAUCACUGGGCGUAAAGCGUUUGUAGGUGGUUUAGUAAGUCUAUUAUUAAAGCUUGAAGCUUAACUUCAAAAGUGUAAUAGAAACUACUAGACUAGAGGAUAGUAGGGGUAAAGGGAAUUUCCAGUGGAGCGGUGAAAUGCGUAGAGAUUGGAAGGACCACCGAUGGCGAAGGCACUUUACUGGGCUAUUUCUGACACUAAGAGACGAAAGC